This 96-nucleotide transfer RNA is filed under the name uncultured archaeon. Its description in RNAcentral is "tRNA-Pro(ggg)". The record is from RNAcentral.
GGGCCUUGGGGUAACCUGGCUAGCCUUCUAGCUUGGGGUGCUAGAGAUUCGAGUCGUUCUGGUAUCGGAAUUCCGAUUCCACCUCGCGAAAAUUCA